GGCCUCCGCCUGGAGCGCGCUGCUCCGGGGCGGCGGGGCUCGCUCUCCGGGUGCUGCUGCGGCGGGCGGCGGGCUCCGGGCCGGCCCCUGUUGCGGCGCGGGCCGAAUCGGCGGAGUCGGAGGUGCGGCGGCUGAGGGAAGCCCUCCCCGCCUUUCCUUUGUCCGUUCGCUCGUGGACUUACACGCGCACCCACUUAGGACAGACGCUCGGCUCCGGUGGACGCCGGCUACAAGAACCUCCAACUACCUGCAAAUCCGGUUAAUUCAUCUUGUUUCUGAUUAAGUUUGAUCCUGUGAGAAAUGACUACUGGCAGAAAAAUGAAGAAUAAAGUGGAAAUGAGUACACAAGCACAGCACAGAGAGCUAUUCAAAGCUACUGAGACCACACCUGGCCAGUCCGCUUAGUACAUCAGAAACUCAACUGCACUGAAUGGGGAAGAGCCUGAGCUUUUAACUGGCACAUGUCUGGAUCAGAAGCUAAAAAUCUAAACUACUAUACUCUUCUCCACUGGAAAUGGACAGAAUGGAUUUGAGAGUUGUCAGAAAGGUGACUAAAUCCAUUUACACAAUUACUCCAAAGUCCUGUAUACAACUGCCCUAUCAGAGAUUAAAGGAUUGCCCUAUCAGAGAUUAAAGGAUUCGAUAGUCAGCUAAGGAAAAUGGCUUGAGUAGAGAAAACAGUGGAGACAAACUUCAUGAAAUGAGAAGUCAAAUCUAAGCACCUAGGUUUUGAGACUGGCUACACACCUACAAUGUACAUCGUGUGACUGAGCAAGUUCCAAAUGAAUGUAAUGGCAGGGGCACAACAAUGGCGAUUCAGUGCUUCCUCUCCUGUCAGAUGGGCAGGAUGUAAAGUGGUGAGAAUGCCCGACAACUGACAACCUUUAGCAGGAGCUGUCCUCAUUAAAUGACAACCUUUGGCGGGAGCUGUCCUCAUUAAAUGAAUAGUGAACAAACCAGUGGUCCCACUGAAGCAGAGUUUGAGCUUAUUUUCACUACAAUUGUGCCUCACUUCUCUACCUUAUUGUUUUUACCCCUCUAGUUAGCAUUAUUCUUGUUCCUUGUCAGUUUUGGAGGAUGUUGCACAGAUAUAUGCAAUUUGUUGCUGGUUUUUUUUAGCAUAAACUGUCAGUAAACACAGCAAAUAUGGAAUGGUUUGGUUUUUUAAGCAGGUGUAAUGAUUUUAUUGGUUCCUAUCCUGUGUAACUCAUUCUCUAAAAUGAGAUUAUGUAUAUAAGAGCUAUUGUUCUUUCAACUGGAUUUGAGAUUAAGAAAUAUUAUUUUAAAAUAAAAGAAAAUCACAACACAAAAAUAUGGUUAUCCA
Molecule: long non-coding RNA, 1324 nt
Organism: Canis lupus familiaris (dog)
Lineage: Eukaryota; Metazoa; Chordata; Mammalia; Carnivora; Canidae
Exons: 6
Source: RefSeq, a predicted model, not a curated record